AGGAUGAUCCAGUUCUAUUAAUAUUGGAUAAUCACAUAAGCAAUAUAUAUCAUAUCCUGUUUUAGAUUAUUGCAGACGUAAUGGGAUAAUUAUCUUCACUUUGCCGCCACACACAUAACACGUAUUGCAACCACUCGACAAGGGAAAAAGGAACACCGUGAUUGGAUGAAACUGCAUCCUGGACAGAGAAUUGGAGUUUAUGAUAUCCCAAAAUUAACAAGAGGACCGUAUACCCGGAGAUUCAAUCAACAAAACAUAAAUCAUUUUCUGCUUGCGGUAUAUAUCCUUUCAAUAGACAGGCAAUUCCGGAAAAUAUGUUCGUCCCUUCAUGUGUUAGAGAUCUACCUGCAGCAAUGCCAACCGUAGCCGAAACAGCACCAUUAACAGAGAGUCAGUUUACGAUCAUAAUCUUCAUCAUUUGAGUAAUUUACCCAUUGAAAUUAACGCAUCUCAUGUGUCAGUGUACCAGGCACCAUUGAAUAUUGCGUCGAAAUAUGUUUUGGGCGUUAAUUAUUCUACUUGCAAAGUUACAUUGACUUCAUCUCAAACACCUCCUACUACUCUUUCGCCAUCAAAUGAAGGCCUUGUUCAAUCUGUGAGUCAAGAUGACGUAAGAUGUCAAACAGAACAAAAUCCUUCGACUUCAAAUAAUGUUCAGUGUCCAUGUUUUACCAAAGAGCAAAGUUAAUGACAGCAAUUAGCUACUCCGUCGACUUCCGAUGGAGUACCUGGUACACAUUUAACACCAGAGAAAGUUGUACCUCAUCCAAGGGUAGCUCAAACUGGACCGGGACUUUCAAAAAAUAGGAAUAGAGGGGCUUCUCGUGUCUUGACUAAUUCUCCAGAGAUUGCAAAACUUAAAGACACCUAUGAUUUAGAAGUAUUGAAAGAAACAAACCGGCUAUUGAAGGAAUCAAUUAUUCGUCCAAAGAAAAUGCAGAAAAAAGAUUCAGGUGGAAAGGCGGAAGCGAAAUUAAGACUUUCUGAAACUAAAUCACAAUUAGCUGCCAAGAAAACUAGGAAUACAGCAAAGAAAACAAAUGUGACGUAUUGGAAAACUAAUGAGGAAGAUAUUUCUCCCGUGGACGAUAACUACAUCCCUCAUAAUCGCGUUGCCACUAAUUAUACAAACCAAACCACAAUGAAACUUCGUUCAGUCAACCGUCAGCUUUUUUUUAAUUUUGAUUAUUAAUACAAUUUUUUAGUCCAGUCAAAUCCAGUCAAUCAAUGGGAACAUUCCAAAAAACGGUAAUGUCCCACCUAUAACCCCUGUCCCAAAUAGCCCCGGUCUCCCCUACCUUCAGUGAUGUCAUCGUUUAUGCUUUGUUUUAUAUCAGUCAGUUUUUGUCUUAAUCUUAUCUCAAAAACUUCACAUUUCAAGGGUAUUUCGUAACAAGCCGGUGAAAAUUUCUCAGUGAUUACAUGAACAACAAUUUUAAACAAGAUGAUUUGAGUAUUUUUAUUUUAAAGGUUCUGUAUUACUCUUAGCUAGUGGUACUCAUUCACUUACUGUCCGCAGUGUAAGAUAAGAAGUGAUAUAACAUCAUCCUAUAUCUCAAUUGAAAACAUUCAAACAACUUCAGACAACAAAUGG
Daphnia pulicaria is the source of this 1594-nucleotide long non-coding RNA. RefSeq lists it as uncharacterized. NCBI's taxonomy places the organism in Eukaryota, Metazoa, Arthropoda, Branchiopoda, Diplostraca, Daphniidae. The record is from RefSeq and is a predicted model, not a curated record. The transcript is spliced from 4 exons.